This 348-nucleotide long non-coding RNA is filed under the name Phoenix dactylifera (date palm). Its description in RNAcentral is "long non-coding RNA (PDAC_LNC012664)". Lineage: Eukaryota; Viridiplantae; Streptophyta; Magnoliopsida; Arecales; Arecaceae. The record is from RNAcentral.
AUCGAGCUUGAAUUGGCUGCCCUGGAUCGUCAAAGUGAUGCCUCGGCAUAUGCCCUCCGCCCUCAACGUGGAUCCGUCACCCAAUGCCACGUCGAAGCCCAAUGUCGGCUCUGCUAUGAGACCGAUCUGUUUGACGAGCCUCUCAUCCAAAAAAUUGUGGGUGCUGCCCGUAUCUAUGAGGAUACGCACCACACGUCUUUUGAUCAUGCCGUCCACGCGUAGCGUUUUCGGUGUCGCCGAUCCAGAGUAGGCAUGCAAUGAAAUCUGAGGUGGCACGUCCUCUUCCUUGGCCUCUAAAUCUUGGGGCUCAUCCUCAGCAACCUCAUCACCAUCUUCAGCCACGGCCUC